This 757-nucleotide ribosomal RNA is filed under the name uncultured archaeon. RNAcentral's name for it is "bacterial SSU rRNA". It matches the Rfam family "Archaeal small subunit ribosomal RNA", at positions 85 to 840 of the family's 1478-position model. The record is from RNAcentral.
ACGGCUCAGUAACACGUCGGUAACCUACCCUCGGGAGGGGGAUAACCCCGGGAAACUGGGGCUAAUUCCCCAUAGGCCUGAGGUACUGGAAGGUCCUCAGGCCGAAAGGGACUUAUGUCCGCCCGAGGAUGGGCCGGCGGCCGAUUAGGUAGUUGGUGGGGUAAUGGCCCACCAAGCCGAAGAUCGGUACGGGCUGUGAGAGCAGGAGCCCGGAGAUGGACACUGAGACACGGGUCCAGGCCCUACGGGGCGCAGCAGGCGCGAAACCUCCGCAAUGCGGGAAACCGCGACGGGGGAUCCCGAGUGCCGUGGCAACGCCACGGCUUUUCCGGAGUGUAAAAAGCUCCGGGAAUAAGGGCUGGGCAAGGCCGGUGGCAGCCGCCGCGGUAAUACCGGCGGCCCAAGUGGUGGCCGCUAUUAUUGGGCCUAAAGCGUCCGUAGCCGGGCCCGUAAGUCCCUGGCGAAAUCCCACGGCUCAACCGUGGGGCUUGCUGGGGAUACUGCGGGUCUUGGGACCGGGAGAGGCGGGGGGUACCCCUGGGGUAGGGGUGAAAUCCUAUAAUCCCAGGGGGACCGCCAGUGGCGAAGGCGCCCCGCUGGAACGGGUCCGACGGUGAGGGACGAAGGCCAGGGGAGCAAACCGGAUUAGAUACCCGGGUAGUCCUGGCUGUAAAGGAUGCGGGCUAGGUGUCGGGUGAGCUUCGAGCUCGCCCGGUGCCGUAGGGAAGCCGUUAAGCCCGCCGCCUGGGGAGUACGG